This 237-nucleotide ribosomal RNA is filed under the name Camponotus paradoxus. RNAcentral describes it as "partial large subunit ribosomal RNA". Lineage: Eukaryota; Metazoa; Arthropoda; Insecta; Hymenoptera; Formicidae. The record is from RNAcentral.
GAAUUUUAUAUAAGUUUUAAAAUAGUUUAUAAUUAAAGAAGAUUUUUUAUUUAGGAUUUAUAUUUAGUUGGGAGGAUUAUUAAAUUGAAUAAACUUUAAUAAAAAUUGAAAACAUUAAUUUAUGAAAUAAAUAGUUUGUUUGGAUUAAGAUUUUUUAUGAAUUUUAUAGAAGAAUUAAUUACCUUAGGGAUAACAGCGUAAUAUUUUUAGAAAGAUCUUAUUAAUAAAAAUGAUUGC